RNAcentral lists this ribosomal RNA (710 nucleotides) under Enterococcus sp. M150. RNAcentral's name for it is "bacterial SSU rRNA". It matches the Rfam family "Bacterial small subunit ribosomal RNA", at positions 61 to 742 of the family's 1533-position model. Lineage: Bacteria; Bacillati; Bacillota; Bacilli; Lactobacillales; Enterococcaceae. The record is from RNAcentral.
GUCGUACGCUUCUUUUUCCACCGGAGCUUGCUCCACCGGAAAAAGAGGAGUGGCGAACGGGUGAGUAACACGUGGGUAACCUGCCCAUCAGAAGGGGAUAACACUUGGAAACAGGUGCUAAUACCGUAUAACAAUCGAAACCGCAUGGUUUUGAUUUGAAAGGCGCUUUCGGGUGUCGCUGAUGGAUGGACCCGCGGUGCAUUAGCUAGUUGGUGAGGUAACGGCUCACCAAGGCCACGAUGCAUAGCCGACCUGAGAGGGUGAUCGGCCACAUUGGGACUGAGACACGGCCCAAACUCCUACGGGAGGCAGCAGUAGGGAAUCUUCGGCAAUGGACGAAAGUCUGACCGAGCAACGCCGCGUGAGUGAAGAAGGUUUUCGGAUCGUAAAACUCUGUUGUUAGAGAAGAACAAGGAUGAGAGUAACUGUUCAUCCCUUGACGGUAUCUAACCAGAAAGCCACGGCUAACUACGUGCCAGCAGCCGCGGUAAUACGUAGGUGGCAAGCGUUGUCCGGAUUUAUUGGGCGUAAAGCGAGCGCAGGCGGUUUCUUAAGUCUGAUGUGAAAGCCCCCGGCUCAACCGGGGAGGGUCAUUGGAAACUGGGAGACUUGAGUGCAGAAGAGGAGAGUGGAAUUCCAUGUGUAGCGGUGAAAUGCGUAGAUAUAUGGAGGAACACCAGUGGUGAAGGGGGCUCUCUGGUCUGUAACUG